GAGGGUAUAACUCAGUGGUAGAACACAUGCUUAGCAUGCAUUAGGUCCUGGGUUCAAUCCCCAGUAUCUCCA
Molecule: transfer RNA, 72 nt
Filed under: Camelus bactrianus (Bactrian camel)
Lineage: Eukaryota; Metazoa; Chordata; Mammalia; Artiodactyla; Camelidae
Also listed under: 3 other names
Rfam family: tRNA
About the family: Transfer RNA (tRNA) molecules are approximately 80 nucleotides in length.
Source: Rfam by way of RNAcentral